Molecule: ribosomal RNA, 498 nt
Filed under: uncultured bacterium
Lineage: Bacteria
Description: partial 16S ribosomal RNA
Rfam family: Bacterial small subunit ribosomal RNA
Source: RNAcentral
AUUGAACGCUGGCGGCAUGCCUUACACAUGCAAGUCGAACGGUAACAGGUCUUCGGAUGCUGACGAGUGGCGAACGGGUGAGUAAUACAUCGGAACGUGCCUAGUAGUGGGGGAUAACUACUCGAAAGAGUGGCUAAUACCGCAUUAGAUCUCCGGAUGAAAGCAGGGGAUUGCAAGACGCUGUGCUCCUAGAGCCGGACGAGGCAGAGUAGGUAGUUGGUGGGAUAAAAGCUUACCAAGCCGACGAUCGUUAGCUGGUCUGAGAGGACGAUCAGCCACACUGGGACUGAGACCCGGCCCAGAAUCCUACGUGAGGCAGCAGUGGGGAAUUUUGGACAAUGGGCGCAAGCCUGAUCCAGCAAUGCCGCGUGCAGGAUGAAGGCGUUCGGGUUGUAAACUGCUUUUGUACGGAACGAAAAGCCCCGGGUUAAUACCCUGGGGUCAUGACGGUACCGUAAGAAUAAGCACCGGCUAACUACGUGCCAGCCGCCGCCGUAA